UGUUCCAAGUCUGCUGUAUGCAGAAAUGACAGUAGUUUCUUGUAGCUGUUUUCUGCUUAUCUUUAAUUUUCCCAAGAAAUCAUCGUGUUGUCAUCAUAUUGCUGAAUAUUGCUGAACUUGUAUGGAAAUAGAUGAUGGUUUCCUAGUUAAGCUGCCGGUGCUGCUGAUUUUUUUCCCUUCUGGAUCAACAUCGACUUUGGAGUGUUAUGUAGUUUUGUUCUGGGAAAAUUGCUGAACUUGUAUGGAAAUAGAUGAUGGUUUCCUAGUUAAGCUGCCGGUGCUGCUGAUUUUUUUCCCUUCUGGAUCAACAUCGACUUUGGAGUGUUAUGUAGUGGAGUUCUGGGAAAUGGAAUAUCAUACGCAGUUACCGGUUGCUCUAUUCUGAGACAUUUAUCUGCUCUGGCUUUGAUUGAUUUUAAAACUUCUUGUGAUGGAUCAACCUUAGCUUUCUCUGUCUCUCCUUCCAAAUAUCUCAGUGGAGGCUUUUGGUUUCAGAGAUACCUUCAAGCUCCUAAGUAAUAGCAGACGAUCUGAUGCCUUGC
Molecule: long non-coding RNA, 542 nt
Filed under: Eucalyptus grandis
Lineage: Eukaryota; Viridiplantae; Streptophyta; Magnoliopsida; Myrtales; Myrtaceae
Description: long non-coding RNA (EGRA_LNC001075)
Source: RNAcentral